GGACGAAUAGCUCAGUUGGGUAGAGCGCACGACCGAUAAUCGUGAGGCCGGAGGUUCGAGCCCUUCUUCGUCCACCA
This 77-nucleotide transfer RNA is filed under the name Halovulum marinum. Its description in RNAcentral is "Rhodobacteraceae bacterium 2CG4 tRNA-Ile". It matches the Rfam family "tRNA". Rfam says of the family: Transfer RNA (tRNA) molecules are approximately 80 nucleotides in length. Their secondary structure includes four short double-helical elements and three loops (D, anti-codon, and T loops). Lineage: Bacteria; Pseudomonadati; Pseudomonadota; Alphaproteobacteria; Rhodobacterales; Paracoccaceae. The record is from RNAcentral.